RNAcentral lists this long non-coding RNA (484 nucleotides) under Fukomys damarensis (Damara mole-rat). RNAcentral's name for it is "lncRNA (ENSFDAG00000029500.1)". Lineage: Eukaryota; Metazoa; Chordata; Mammalia; Rodentia; Bathyergidae. The record is from RNAcentral.
AUAACCAUUCCUUUUCAGAGGGCUGUAUGCAGGCGGUGGAGAGCAGGAGCGCUCGGCCUGAGCAUUGUUCCUACAGAUUCUCCCUGAAGGAGCCUAGCCUGUGACCUCAAAUCAUGCUAGCCGGCAGCUCAACGUCGCUCUGCAAGGAGAACGAUGGCAGGUGGAUCACACAAUGCGUCCAAGAGGAACUGAAUGUUACGCUGGAUGCCAGCCGUCUGGUUGGCCUCAGGAUGGGGAUAGUUUGUGCCCAUGGAGCGUCAAUGAAACCAAAAAGGUCAGCAGGAGGCAACCAUGGAUGACCUGCCGCUCAUCUCUCGGCUGGCUGGCUAGAGACUGUAGUGCUUCACCCACAAUGGUAUGAGCGAGGGCUCCAUGAGCUCCUAAACCAUGCUAGGGAUUUUGAGGAAGGCAGGGAUGGUGAAUGAAGACUGAGAUAUCAGAAACCCAAGGCUCUACUGGGGGCCUUUUGCCUACUGAGUCCCUG